Molecule: regulatory RNA element, 96 nt
Organism: Pseudomonas rhizosphaerae
Lineage: Bacteria; Pseudomonadati; Pseudomonadota; Gammaproteobacteria; Pseudomonadales; Pseudomonadaceae
Rfam family: traJ-II RNA
Source: Rfam
AGGCAAGAUGUGUGUUGUACGGGUACGGGCAAGCCCGGCCCUGCCAAUACCUUCCCUUAUUCACCUCCGGCUCAACGUAUUUGGCUCUGCGAGGCU